The submitters of this non-coding RNA (46 nucleotides) gave its source as unclassified sequences. The record is from Rfam.
UGCCCCACGGUAAGUAUUACCGUGGGGCAGCAAGGUAGCGGUAGCA